Molecule: ribosomal RNA, 363 nt
Filed under: uncultured bacterium
Lineage: Bacteria
Description: partial 16S ribosomal RNA
Rfam family: Bacterial small subunit ribosomal RNA
Source: RNAcentral
CCUACGGGAGGCAGCAGUGAGGAAUAUUGGUCAAUGGCCGGAAGGCUGAACCAGCCAAGCCGCGUGAGGGACGACUGCCCUCUGGGUUGUAAACUCUUUUUAUAAGGGAAGAAUAAAUGCUACGUGUAGCAUGAUGCCUGUACCUUAUGAAUAAGCAUCGGCUAACUCGGUGCCAGCAGCCGCGGUAAUACGGAGGAUGCGAGCGUUAUCGGGGUUUAUUGGGUUUAAAGGGUGCGUAGGCGGUUUUUUAAGUUAGUGGGUAAACGUCGGGGCUUCACCUUGAUUUGCCAUUAAUACUGUAAGACUCGAGUGCAGAAGAGGUAGGCGGAAUAAGUUAAGUAGCGGUGAAAUGCUUAGAUAUAA